AGCCUGAUGCAGCGACGCCGCGUGAGGGAUGACGGCCUUCGGGUUGUAAACCUCUUUCAGUAGGGAAGAAGCGAAAGUGACGGUACCUGCAGAAGAAGCGCCGGCUAACUACGUGCCAGCAGCCGCGGUAAUACGUAGGGCGCAAGCGUUAUCCGGAAUUAUUGGGCGUAAAGAGCUCGUAGGCGGUUUGUCGCGUCUGCCGUGAAAGUCCGGGGCUCAACUCCGGAUCUGCGGUGGGUACGGGCAGACUAGAGUGAUGUAGGGGAGACUGGAAUUCCUGGUGUAGCGGUGAAAUGCGCAGAUAUCAGGAGGAACACCGAUGGCGAAGGCAGGUCUCUGGGCAUUAACUGACGCUGAGGAGCGAAAGCAUGGGGAGCGAACAGGAUUAGAUACCCUGGUAGUCCAUGCCGUAAACGUUGGGCACUAGGUGUGGGGGACAUUCCACGUUUUCCGCGCCGUAGCUAACGCAUUAAGUGCCCCGCCUGGGGAGUACGGCCGCAAGGCUAAAACUCAAAGGAAUUGACGGGG
Molecule: ribosomal RNA, 528 nt
Filed under: Arthrobacter ginsengisoli
Lineage: Bacteria; Bacillati; Actinomycetota; Actinomycetes; Micrococcales; Micrococcaceae
Description: bacterial SSU rRNA
Rfam family: Bacterial small subunit ribosomal RNA
Source: RNAcentral